CAGCGCCACGAGUGGCAAUCGCAUAUUGGGCCUAAAGCGUCCGUAGUCGGUAUUGCAAAUCUCUUGUGAAAUUGGGGAGCUCAACUCCUCAGCGUGCGAGAGACACUACAAUACUUGGAACCGGGAGGAGUAAGAGGUAUUCUGGGGGGAGCGGUAAAAUGUGAUAAUCCUCGGAGGACCACCUGUGGCGAAGGCGUCUUACUAGAACGGAUUCGACGAUGAGGGACGAAGGCUAGGGGAGCAAACCGGAUUAGAUACCCGAGUAGUCC
This 269-nucleotide ribosomal RNA is filed under the name uncultured archaeon. RNAcentral's name for it is "partial 16S ribosomal RNA". It matches the Rfam family "Archaeal small subunit ribosomal RNA", at positions 477 to 747 of the family's 1478-position model. The record is from RNAcentral.